Exaiptasia diaphana is the source of this 197-nucleotide long non-coding RNA. RefSeq lists it as uncharacterized. The record is from RefSeq and is a predicted model, not a curated record. The transcript is spliced from 2 exons. Lineage: Eukaryota; Metazoa; Cnidaria; Anthozoa; Actiniaria; Aiptasiidae.
UUCGUGACAACCGAACAACGUCAAUGGCUGUAUCAUGCCAAGGAAAUCACGUGGCUAAAUAUGGGGCCACGCCAAAACUCAUAUCUAAUCGCUAAUACAAGCGCUGACAGUUCAAUUUGGAUAUACAUUGUGGAGUACAAGUUGUUUCCUUUAUAACCCUAAAAUCAUGCCUAGCACAGGUAUCAAAAUGGACCCAA